Molecule: long non-coding RNA, 985 nt
Organism: Paramisgurnus dabryanus
Lineage: Eukaryota; Metazoa; Chordata; Actinopteri; Cypriniformes; Cobitidae
Source: RefSeq, a predicted model, not a curated record
UGAAAAAAAUGGACUUGGUGGGUCUUUGAAUUUAAAUAAAAUAAACAUGUAUAUGCAACACAAAAUAUUUAUAUUCCUUGUGUAAACAUAAUUUAAUUGAUUAGGAUGAAAAUGUUUUGUUUGAAUGUAAAAUGAACACAUUAUUCUCACAUUGAUUAAAAUUGAUUGAAUUGAAUACUUAAAGCAAUAAAAUUGAGUUUGCACACAAAAUGGCACCUCCUGAGCAGAAGGUGGCAGUAACGCUCAAUGAAAAGGACGUCAAUCGCCAUAAAAGAAGAAUAAACAUCGUUUGUUUUGGGCGCCAAAAUGAAGACUCAGCAGCAGUCAGUCAGAAGAACUCUCUCAGACGGACACCAUGUUAUUAAAGUCCAUCAUCCUUGCACACACUCAAAAGCAUUGAUAAAUGCUGAAUUUAAAAGAAUCACUACUGUCUUAUGUUCCUGUGUGUCACCUGGACCUCCAAUCCAAAAACCUGACGAAACUCUUCUAUCAGAAAGGAGGACAGCUAGCAAAAAGACUUGGAACAAUCAAUGAUCAAAUGACAGAAGGCAUGGAUGAAGUCAGCAUCAGUGUGGUCAUUUGAAGACACCACUGUUGGGAUUUGUGCUCUCAAACAACAUGCUUCUUGUGAUGAAGAAGAGGAUCUUUGUAUAGUCCUGGAAGGCAUGAAGGUGUUGCAACAUCGUGCCAUGUUGUUUGAGCUGAUGUAUGCCUUAAACCUGAACUAUCCUGAUCUCUGCUUUAUUUUUGAGGAAAUCCAAAAGAUUUUAAUGGAACUGCAUUGAGCGUAACUUUAACGAACCGUUUCUUUCAGUGAAAGGUUCAGAAAGACUGUGCUGCUCAUUUAUGUUCUUUUUAUUUAUCUGUUUUAAGUGUUUUCUCUUAUUAAAACAUUAACAGUUUGCUGCUCAGAGUUGAUUUUGGAAAUGGUUGUUGUAUUUUGUUUUUGUUGAAUCUUUGAUUAUCAGUUUAUACAAAUGCUGUA